Molecule: ribosomal RNA, 516 nt
Filed under: Bacillus spizizenii
Lineage: Bacteria; Bacillati; Bacillota; Bacilli; Caryophanales; Bacillaceae
Description: bacterial SSU rRNA
Rfam family: Bacterial small subunit ribosomal RNA
Source: RNAcentral
UUUGAUCCUGGGCUCAGGACGAACGCUGCCGGCGUGCCUAAUACAUGCAAGUCGAGCGGACAGAUGGGAGCUUGCUCCCCUGAUGUUAGCGGCGGACGGGUGAGUAACACGUGGGUAACCUGCCUGUAAGACUGGGAUAACUCCGGGAAACCGGGGCUAAUACCGGAUGGUUGUUUGAACCGCAUGGUUCAAACAUAAAAGGUGGCUUCGGCUACCACUUACAGAUGGACCCGCGGCGCAUUAGCUAGUUGGUGAGGUAACGGCUCACCAAGGCAACGAUGCGUAGCCGACCUGAGAGGGUGAUCGGCCACACUGGGACUGAGACACGGCCCAGACUCCUACGGGAGGCAGCAGUAGGGAAUCUUCCGCAAUGGACGAAAGUCUGACGGAGCAACGCCGCGUGAGUGAUGAAGGUUUCUCGGAUCGUAAAGCUCUGUUGUUCACGGGAAGAACAAGUACCGUUCGAAUAGGGCGGUACCUUGACGGUACCUAACCAGAAAGCCACGGCUAACUACG